Molecule: ribosomal RNA, 327 nt
Filed under: uncultured eukaryote
Lineage: Eukaryota
Description: partial 18S ribosomal RNA
Rfam family: Eukaryotic small subunit ribosomal RNA
Source: RNAcentral
CCCUUAGAUGUUCUGGGCCGCACGCGCGCUACACUGACGAAUGCAACGAGCUUAUAACCUUGGCCGAAAGGUCAGGGUAAUCUCCAAAUUUCGUCGUGAUGGGGAUAGAUUAUUGCAAUUAUUAAUCUUCAACGAGGAAUGCCUAGUAAGCGCAAGUCAUCAGCUUGCGUUGAUUACGUCCCUGCCCUUUGUACACACCGCCCGUCGCUCCUACCGAUUGAAUGGUCCGGUGAAGCGUUCGGACCGUGGCCUUUGGACGGUUCGCCGUCUGUUGGCUGCGGGAAGUUCGUUAAACCUUAUCAUUUAGAGGAAGGAGAAGUCGUAACA